RNAcentral lists this ribosomal RNA (844 nucleotides) under uncultured archaeon. RNAcentral describes it as "SSU rRNA". It matches the Rfam family "Archaeal small subunit ribosomal RNA", at positions 474 to 1337 of the family's 1478-position model. The record is from RNAcentral.
UCCUAGCGGUCCAAGUCGCAUCCAUCUUUAUUGGGUCUAAAACAUCCGUAGCUUGCUUAGUAAGUUCCUUGUGAAAUCCUAUGUCUCAAGCAUAGGGCGGGCAAGGAGUACUGCUGAGCUAGGGACUGGAAGGCGUAGGAAGUACGUUUAAAGUAACGGUAAAAUGUGUUAAUCUUGGACGGACUCACAAUAGCGAAGGCAUCCUACGAGGACAGUUCUGGCAGUGAGGGAUGAAAGCCAGGGUCGCGAAACGGAUUAGAUACCCGUGUAGUCCUGGCAGUAAACUCUGCACACUAAACAUCAGUACCUCCUCGAGAGGUAUUGGUGCUGCAGCGAAGGCGAAGAGUGUGCUACCUGGGAAGUAUAGUCGCAAGGCCGAAACUUAAAGGAAUAGGCGGGGAGAUACUACAACGGGUGACGCGUGCGGUUCAAUUAGAUUCGACACCGUGAACCUCACCAGGACCGACAGCAGGAUGAAGGUCAGUCUGAAGGGCUUACCUGACACGCUGAGAGGAGUUGCAUGGCCAACGUCAGCCUGUGCCGUGAGGUGACCUGUUAAAUCAGGUAACAGGCAAGACCCCUGUGCAUAUUUGCUAAAGCACUAUAUGCAGAUUGCCUUGGUAACAAGGAUGAGAGUGGGGGCUACGUUAGGUGAGUACAGCCCGACCGCCCUGGGCGACACGCGCGCGUCAAUGGUGGAUACAACGAGAUGCAACACCGAAAGGUGAAGCCAAUCUCUUAAAGUCCAUCUCAGUCCAGAUCGAGGUUUGAAACUCAGCCUCGUGACGCUGGAAUCCGUAGUAAUCGUUUGUUAGCAGCGAACGGUGAAUAAGUCACUGUCUCU